CAUGUACAACGGCGAGCCAGGCUCGUUGAUUUGCGUCCGGAGAAGAAAAAUACGUCGAUGGAGAGAGCAUUCAAUGAGGAUAGAGGGAAUAGCCGGCAUCUCACCCGUCUACGGCACAAGCUCGUGCUCCAACGCGAGAAGACGACUACUCCUGGCGUUGUACAAGCCGAUGCGUACCGGCGCCGGUGGCGUGGAUCCGCUGCACGCGGAGGCUCUCGCGCGCGGGGGAUUUCGUUUGGCAGCAAACUUCCUGCCCGGUCAAGAACUCGGCGUCGCCAUUGAGAUCGGCAGUGCCCGCCCUUGCCCAGGAUCUCCGCGGCCUGAAGCUCCUCCGCCGAAAUCCCGCCACUCUUGUUCCCUCGAUCUCCUAUGCUGGAAUCCCGCCGCCCUCGAGCUCCUACGCCCGGGGUCCUGCCGUCCUGCUGCCCCGAGAUCCGGUGAGGUCUCAAGCUCCUCCGCCCGGGAUCUCGCCGCCGCCUGCAACCUCCAGAUUUGCCACCCUCGAGCUUCCCCCUAUGGUGCCGAUGAGCUGCUGCGGCAGCGCAGAAAGGGAAGGCCAAGGGGGGAGCUGCGGCGACACCGGAGCAGGUGACAUCCGGCCGCGCUGCCUAGGUGCCGGAGCAGAACGGAGCGAGUGGAUAUGGUGCAGCUACUCCUCCAAUUUCCUUCUCCGACCGAAGCUGCUUCUUCAACUGUGCUGGCGGUUUCUUCGACAGCAACUCGAUGUCUCAACAUGGAUGUUGAAUUCAGAUCCUGCAACAUGGUAUUCAUCCUCAAUUUUCCUCAAUGUUGCUCUCAAUUUUUGCCACUAUUGCUCAAUCUACUGGACUUCGGUAUAUCUUUAGUGUUAAUUUAGGGAGUAGCAACAUCCUGAAGUAAACGCUGUAUCUGUGGUAUUAGCCAAACUAGCACAUGCUAAUAGUCUGAACGUUUUGAGCGGUGAAGGAAAAAAAGAUUCAACAUAGCUUCGUAACUUGCAUGCCUCGCAGCUUGGCUGCUGGUCUAGCUUUUCCCAUGUCUCCAAUGUUGUCUGUGCUUCUAUGUAAUUUUUUUUUUCUAUGUAAUUUUAUAUACUGUUACAAACUAAAUUCACACCAAUUAUAUGCAGAUUGUAAGAUCACAUGGUAAUCCCUCAUUGUGCAGUGCACAGACCAUUUUUAAAGAAAAUUAAAAGGGGGAUAAGUUUAAUCGCUUCACCCAUCAUGUCCAUGUGUAUCAGAACUUGGUAGCAGGCUAGCAGCAAACAGCAUUUGGUGACUAACUACACCAAUGAAGCCUGAAGACUUAGAGCCUGAACAUCUUUGGGUACGCAUGAUGUGCUAGUAUAGGGUGAAUAUUUACAUAGUUCUUUAAUAGCAUUUGAGUACGCAUCAUGUGCUGGGCGCAGAUGAACUAGCACUGGCUAGUGAAGAUCAUCCCUGGGCGCUGAUGAGCUACCUUUGGAGCCUGAAAACAUGGAGGCAAUGAGCACCGCGCCUGAAGACAUGGAGGCCGCGCAUGAAAAUUUUGAAGCUGAUCUUGAAGAAAUCGAUCCAGAAGACUUUAUUGUAUCAUAUCAUGUAUUUCUGAGAACAUUUCAUAUGAAUUUAUAUAUAUGCUUGUCGGGUACCAUGAUUAGGGGCAUCCUAA
This is a long non-coding RNA of Panicum virgatum (switchgrass), 1629 nucleotides long. RefSeq lists it as uncharacterized. The transcript is spliced from 2 exons. The record is from RefSeq and is a predicted model, not a curated record. Lineage: Eukaryota; Viridiplantae; Streptophyta; Magnoliopsida; Poales; Poaceae.